This 713-nucleotide ribosomal RNA is filed under the name Candidatus Margulisiibacteriota bacterium. Its description in RNAcentral is "bacterial SSU rRNA". It matches the Rfam family "Bacterial small subunit ribosomal RNA", at positions 1 to 734 of the family's 1533-position model. The record is from RNAcentral. Lineage: Bacteria; Bacillati; Candidatus Margulisiibacteriota.
UUUACUGAGAGUUUGAUUCUGGCUCAGGACGAACGCUGGCGGCGUGCCUAACACAUGCAAGUCGAGCGCCCCGAUUUAUCGGGGAGCGGCGGACGGGUGAGUAACACGUAAGCAACCUACCUCUAAGACGGGGACAACCUUGAGAAAUCUGGGCUAAUACCCGAUGUGACUGCAGUUUAGCAUUUUACUGCAAUUAAACGAAACGUAAGAAUCGCUUAGAGAGGGGCUUGCGACCUAUCAGCUUGUUGGCGGGGUAAAAGCCCACCAAGGCUACGACGGGUAGCUGGUCUGAGAGGAUGACCAGUCACACUGGAACUGAGACACGGUCCAGACUCCUACGGGAGGCAGCAGUGAGGAAUUUUCCGCAAUGGGCGAAAGCCUGACGGAGCGACGCCGUGUGUGUGAUGAAGUCCUUCGGGACGUAAAACACUGUCAGAGGGGACGAUAAUGACGGUACCCUCAGAGGAAGGCCCGGCUAACUACGUGCCAGCAGCCGCGGUAAUACGUAGGGGCCAAGCGUUGUCCGGAAUUACUGGGCGUAAAGAGUAUGUAGGCGGCUUUGUAAGUCCGAUGUUAAAUCUCCCGGCUCAACCGGGAACCUGCAUUGGAUACUGCUUAGCUAGAGAGUAGCAGAGGAAAGUGGAACUUCCGGUGUAGCGGUGAAAUGCGUAGAUAUCGGAAGGAACACCAGUGGCGAAGGCGGCUUUCUGGGC